CGGCUCCUACGGGAGGCAGCAGUGGGAAUAUUGCACAAUGGGGGGAACCCUGAUGCAGCAACGCCGCGUGAGUGAAGAAGUCAUUCGUGAUGUAAAGCUCUAUCAGCAGGGAAGAAAAUGACGGUACCUGAGUAAGAAGCCCCGGCUAACUACGUGCCAGCAGCCGCGGUAAUACGUAGGGGGCAAGCGCUAUCCGGAUUUACUGGGUGUAAAGGGAGCGUAGACGGCCAGACAAGUCUGAAGUGAAAAUCCAG
RNAcentral lists this ribosomal RNA (254 nucleotides) under uncultured bacterium. RNAcentral describes it as "partial 16S ribosomal RNA". It matches the Rfam family "Bacterial small subunit ribosomal RNA", at positions 333 to 605 of the family's 1533-position model. The record is from RNAcentral.